AUACGUAGGGGGCUAGCGUUAUCCGGAAUUACUGGGCGUAAAGGGUGCGUAGGUGGUUUCUUAAGUCAGAAGUGAAAGGCUACGGCUCAACCGUAGUAAGCUUUUGAAACUAAGAGACUUGAGUGCAGGAGAGGAGAGUAGAAUUCCUAGUGUAGCGGUGAAAUGCGUAGAUAUUAGGAGGAAUACCAGUUGCGAAGGCGGCUCCCUGGACUGUAACUGACACUGAGGCACGAAAGCGUGGGGAGCAAACAGGAUUAGAUACCCUGGUAGUCCACGCCGUAAACGAUGAGUACUAGCUGUCGGGGGUUACCCCCCUCGGUGGCGCAGCUAACGCAUUAAGUACUCCGCCUGGGAAGUACGCUCGCAAGAGUGAAACUCAAAUGAAUUGACGGG
RNAcentral lists this ribosomal RNA (393 nucleotides) under uncultured bacterium. Its description in RNAcentral is "partial 16S ribosomal RNA". It matches the Rfam family "Bacterial small subunit ribosomal RNA", at positions 523 to 917 of the family's 1533-position model. The record is from RNAcentral.